Molecule: ribosomal RNA, 234 nt
Filed under: uncultured bacterium
Lineage: Bacteria
Description: partial 16S ribosomal RNA
Rfam family: Bacterial small subunit ribosomal RNA
Source: RNAcentral
GAUCCUGGCUCAGGAUGAACGCUAGCUACAGGCUUAACACAUGCAAGUCGAGGGGCAGCGGGAUUGAAGCUUGCUUCAAUUGCCGGCGACCGGCGCACGGGUGAGUAACGCGUAUCCAGCCUUCCGCAUACUCGGGGAUAGCCUUCUGAAAAGGAGAUUAAUACCCGAUGGUAUCAAGAGAUUGCAUGAUAACUUGAUUAAAGAAAUUCGGUUAUGCGAUGGGGAGUGCGUUCC